Molecule: long non-coding RNA, 4809 nt
Organism: Megalobrama amblycephala (Wuchang bream)
Lineage: Eukaryota; Metazoa; Chordata; Actinopteri; Cypriniformes; Xenocyprididae
Exons: 12
Source: RefSeq, a predicted model, not a curated record
UCCAGCAUUUUUCUCUGGUACAUCUGAACAUUCUUCUCAUUUAUUUGCUCAUUCAUUUGACGCACAAUUAGCUAUUCUGCCUUGAGUUUGAAUAAAAAGAGAAAGACCGAGAGAAAGACCGCGGAGUGAUCCGAGAAACAUGAAAGUAGCUCCGGCGUGUAACAGAACGGUUGCCUGGAUACGGCAGAACUACUUGACAGUGCAUGACGCAACAGCCGUGUGGCUGGCGUCACAAUAUGAAUACUAUAUAAGCUGUGGGAAUCGGCGCUUGACAGAAGUCUGCCUCGUCUUGCAGUACAGAGAAGAUUAAGCAGAAUAUUAUUAUCAUCUGUUGAUCUUUUAUGAACAGAUUAGAAAGCUGUGGAAGAAAAAUAGCAGCAUCCUGACAGAAAGAGCAUUACUUGCUUCUGUGUUGUUUUCCUAGAGAAGGUUGAGAUGAUGGACGUUUGGCUUUUGCUGACUUUUGCUGAUUGUCUAUGAUACUUACCUUUAUAAUCAGUGUGGCUCAGUGGCAACGGACCAUUUCAUGAAACCGCACUAUAAGACCUUCACAGAAAAAAAGCUGUAGAGAUCCAAACCCACACAUCAGACAAAACAUUUCCGUUGCCACUGAGUCACUCUGAUUAUAAAGGUAAGUAAGUAUCAGACAAUCAGCAAAAGUGUGCAUCAGUGUGCAACAACAUGGACUAGGAGCGACACUGAGGAUGAUGGGAAUGACUCUUAAUCAUUCGACCUCUGAUCCAAAGAUCAGAAAGCUGUGGAGAGAAAACAGCAACAUCCUGACAGAGAGAGCAUUACUUGCUUCUGUGUUGUUUUCCUAGAGAAGGUUGAGAUGAUGGACCUUUGGCUUUUGCUGACUUUUGCUGAUUGUCUAUGAUACUUACCUUUAUAAUCAUUGUGGCUCAGUGUCAACGGACCAUUUCAUGAAAUCGCACUAUAAGACAUUCACAGAAAAAAAGCUGUGGAGAUCCAAACCCACACAUCGGAUAAAACAUUUCCGUUGCCACUGAGUCACUCUGAUUAUAAAGGUAAGUAAGUAUCAGACAAUCAGCAAAAGUGUGCAUCAGUGUGCAACAACAUGGACUCUAGGAGCGACACUGAGGAUGAUGGGAAUGACUCUUAAUCAUUCGACCUCUGAUCCAAAGAUCAGAAAGCUGUGGAGGAAAAACAGCAACAUCCUGACAGAGAGAGCAUUACUUGCUUCUGUGUUGGUAAAUUUGAAGCAUUUCAUAUUUCUAGCAAUUUCUUUACCCAGUCGUGUCCUUUUCUCUCAUAGUUUUCCUAGAGAAGGUUGAGAUGAUGGACUUUGGCUUUUGCUGACUUUUGCUGAUUGUCUAUGAUACUUACCUUUAUAAUCAGUGUGGCUCAGUGGCAACGGACCAUUUCAUGAAACCGCACUAUAAGACAUUCACAGAAAAAAAGCUGUGGAGAUCCAAACACACACGUCGGACCAAACAUUUCCGUUGCCACUGAGUCACUCUGAUUAUAAAGGUAAGUAAGUAUCAGACAAUCAGCAAAAGUGUGCAUCAGUGUGCAACAACAUGGACUCUAGGAGCGACACUGAGGAUGAUGGGAAUGACUCUUAAUCAUUCGACCUCUGAUCCAAAGAUCAGAAAGCUGUGGAGAGAAAACAGCAACAUCCUGACAGAGAGAGCAUUACUUGCUUCUGUUUUGAAAAAAGAUCGGACAUCGACCCCACAUAGGGCAAAAUAUUUCCGUAGCCACAGAGCCACACUGAUUAUAAUGGACAGUUUGUAAACAGGAAGUGAAGUGGGAAAGAGAAAGGGGGACGGGAUCAGGAAAAGUCCAUGAGCCGGGACUUGAACUCAGUUUGCCCAAAGCACAAUGCCGCAAUAUGUCAGCACGCUUCCCAUAAGGUUAUCUGCGCCAACCAACCAGCAUCAGUGUGAUAAAUAUUAGAACCUCAUUGUGCAAGAACCAUUGGGGGAACACAAUCCAACGGCAAACAAUCCAGCUGUUGGAAUCCGUUCCCCCACCUGUUCGAUUAGAGAUAUUGAUGUAGUGGUUUAAAAAUGCUGAUUCUAUUCUGAGAAUGGAGCUUAACCAGCAUUAGUUAAGAUUAGUAAGAUUUAUUUUUGGCGUUUUUGCUUUUUAUCAUAAUAGGGAAAAGGGAGGGAUGUGAUCAAGAAAAGUGCACAAACCAGAACAUGAACGCAGCCUCCCAAAGCACAACAGCACUAUAUGUCAGCAUGCUGCCCAUGAGGCUAUCGGCUCCACCUAACCAGCAUCAGUUUGAUAAAUAUUAGAACCUCAUCAUUUAAGAAACAUGGGGGCAACAGAACCCGAAAGCAAACAGUCUGGCUGCCAGAAUCCGUUCCCCCACCUAUAUGAUGAGAGAUGUUGAUGUAGUGGCUUAAAAGAUGCUAAUUCUAUUCUGUGUGAGGAUGGAGCUUAACCAGCAUAAUUUUAAAGAUUUAUUUUUGCCUUUUAUUAUGAUAGGACAGUAUGUAGACAGGAAGCAAAGUAGGAGAGAGAAAGGGUGAUGGGAUCAGGAAAAGUACACAAGCCGGGACUUGAACUUGGUUUGCCCAAAGCACAACGGCGCAAUAUGUCAGCACACUUCCCACGAGGCUAUCGGCACCAACCCACCCGCAUCAGUUUGAUAAAUAUUAGAACCUCAUCGUGUAAGAAACAUGGGGGGAACAGAAUCUGACGGCAAACAAUCCAGCUGUAUGAUGAGAGAUGUUGAUGUAGUGGCGGCUUAAAAGAUGCUAAUUCUAUUCUUUGUGAGAAUGGAGCUUAACCGUUUUUGCUUUUUAUUAUAAUAGGGUAUUAUGUAGACAGGAAGCGAAAUGAGAGAGAGAGGGAUGCGAUCAAGAAAAGUGCACAAACCGGAACAUGAACUCAGUCUCCCAAAGCACAACAGCACUAUAUGUCAGCAUGCUGCCCACGAGGCUAUCGGUGCCAACUAACCAGCGCCUGUUUGACAAAUUUUAGAACAUCAUUGUUUAAGAAAAAUGGGGGGGACAGAAUCUGACGGCAAACAAUCCAGCUGUCAGAAUCCGCUCCCCCACCUAUAUGAUGAGAGAUGUUGAUGUAGUGGCGGCUUAAAAGAUGCUAAUUCUAUUCUGUGUGAGAAUGGAGCUUAACCAUUUUUGCUUUUUAUUAUAAUAGGGUAUUAUGUAGACAGGAAGCGAAAUGAGAGAGAGAGGGAUGCGAUCAAGAAAAGUGCACAAACCGGAACAUGAACUCAGUCUCCCAAAGCACAACAGCACUAUAUGUCAGCAUGCUGCCCACGAGGCUAUCGGUGCCAACUAACCAGCGCCUGUUUGACAAAUUUUAGAACAUCAUUGUUUAAGAAAAACGGGGGGGACAGAAUCUGACGGCAAACAAUCCAGCUGUCAGAAUCCGUUCCCCCACCUAUAUGAUGAGAGAUGUUGAUGUAGUGGCGGCUUAAAAGAUGCUAAUUCUAUUCUGUGUGAGGAUGGAGCUUAACCAUUUUUGCUUUUUAUUAUAAUAGGGUAUUAUGUAGACAGGAAGCGAAAUGAGAGAGAGAGGGAUGCGAUCAAGAAAAGUGCACGAGCCGGAACAUGAACGCAGCCUCCCAAAGCACAACAGCACUAUAUGUCAGCAUGCUGCCCACGAGGCUAUCGGUGCCAACUAACCGGCGCCUGUUUGACAAAUUUUAGAACAUCAUUGUUUAAGAAAAACGGGGGGGACAGAAUCUGACGGCAAACAAUCCAGCUGUCAAAAUCCGUUCCCCCACCUAUAUGAUGAGAGAUGUUGAUGUAGUGGCGGCUUAAAAGAUGCUAAUUCUAUUCUGUGUGAGGAUGGAGCUUAACCAGCAUCACUUUAGUGACCAAUAUCACUUUAAAGAUUUAUUUUUGCCUUUUAUUAUGACAGGACAGUUUGUAAACAGGAAGUGAAGUGGGAAAGAGAAAGGGGGACGGGAUCAGGAAAAGUCCAUGAGCCGGGACUUGAACUCGGUUUGCCCAAAGCACAAUGGCGCAAUAUGUCAGCACGCUUCCCAUAAGGUUAUCUGCGCCAACCAACCAGCAUCAGUGUGAUAAAUAUUAGAACCUCAUUGUGCAAGAACCAUUGGGGGAACACAAUCCAACGGCAAACAAUCCAGCUGUUGGAAUCCGUUCCCCCACCUGUUCGAUUAGAGAUAUUGAUGUAGUGGUUUAAAAAUGCUGAUUCUAUUCUGAGAAUGGAGCUUAACCAGCAUUAGUUAAGAUUAGUAAGAUUUAUUUUUGGCGUUUUUGCUUUUUAUCAUAAUAGGGAAAAGGGAGGGAUGCGAUCAAGAAAAGUGCACAAACCAGAACAUGAACGCAGCCUCCCAAAGCACAACAGCACUAUAUGUCAGCAUGCUGCCCAUGAGGCUAUCGGCUCCACCUAACCAGCAUCAGUUUGAUAAAUAUUAGAACCUCAUUGUGUAAGAAACAUGGGGGGAACAGAACCCGAAAGCAAACAGUCCGGCUGCCAGAAUCCGUUCCCCCACCUAUAUGAUGAGAGAUGUUGAUGUAGUGGCUUAAAAGAUGCUAAUUCUAUUCUGUGUGAGGAUGGAGCUUAACCAGCAUAAUUUUAAAGAUUUAUUUUUGCCUUUUAUUAUGAUAGGACAGUAUGUAGACAGGAAGCAAAGUAGGAGAGAGAAAGGGUGAUGGGAUCAGGAAAAGUACACAAGCCGGGACUUGAACUUGGUUUGCCCAAAGCACAACGGCGCAAUAUGUCAGCACACUUCCCACGAGGCUAUCGGCACCAACCCACCCGCAUCAGUUUGAUAAAUAUUAGAACCUCAUCGUGUAAGAAACAUGGGGGGAACAGAAUCUGACGGCAAACAAUCCAGCU